This 87-nucleotide transfer RNA is filed under the name Microtetraspora sp. NBRC 16547. RNAcentral's name for it is "tRNA-Arg". Lineage: Bacteria; Bacillati; Actinomycetota; Actinomycetes; Streptosporangiales; Streptosporangiaceae. The record is from RNAcentral.
GUCACCAUGGUCAACGUGGCCGAGCCCUCGCCGUUCCUGUCGGCGAUCCGGUGGGCUCCGGCGACGUUCCCGCUCGCCGUGCUGGCC